Long non-coding RNA from Mytilus californianus (California mussel), 633 nucleotides. RefSeq lists it as uncharacterized. The transcript has 3 exons. Lineage: Eukaryota; Metazoa; Mollusca; Bivalvia; Mytilida; Mytilidae. The record is from RefSeq and is a predicted model, not a curated record.
UAUAAACCCUACCACACGUGUAAUUUUCCGUUGGAUAAAUUUUGUCUAUCAUAUUCUAUCAAGAAACCUAUGGCAUGUUCUCGUGUCUCAGUUUUAAAUAAGUCCCAUAGUACUGAUGGAUCCUUGGUCAUUUUGUAGAUCAUAAUUGAUCUGUUGUUUAGACGCAUGCUCAAUAACCCAUAAACAUCAGUAGUCAGUGUAUAAUAAUAGAUUCAGAUUAUGUGUGUAGACUUUACAUUCACUCUGGAUGUUAAUGACUAGCAGUAUCAUUUUCCUUACAAUUAACAUUGGACUGGAUAGAGAUGAAGUUUUAGUGGACUUAAGUGUUCUUACAUAACAACGACCUAUAAAUCGAAUCUUCUUAGGAGUGUGUAAGAAUUUAAAUAGAUGUAUGGAAUUUACGACGUCUAAAAAUAGAACUAUUAUUGCUAUCAAUAAAGAUGUGAAGAUCUUCUCUGGAUUAUGAUUGUAUGUGCAGAAUACUUUGUGUAGUUUAUCUUUUUCCAUGGAACAGUUAAUAAUUAAAAGUUUUUUUUCUUCCCAGAUAAUUUAUAUGGUUAAACAAUUUCAUCAAUUCAUCUAUAUUACUUUUCAUUUUAUCUUGCAUAUAAAAUAAAAAUAUAUUUACAAUCA